AAUGAACGCUGGCGGCGCGCCUAAUACAUGCAAGUCGAGCGAGAAGACGUAGCGAUACGUUUGUAAAGCGGCGAACGGGUGAGGAAUACAUGGGUAACCUACCCUCGAGUGGGGAAUAACUAGCCGAAAGGUUAGCUAAUACCGCGUACGCUUCUUGGACUUCGGUUCAGGGAGGAAAGCGAUGCCGAGGGUAUCGCGCUCUUGGAUGGGCUCAUGUCCUAUCAGCUGUUGGUGAGGUAACGGCUCACCAAGGCUUCGACGGGUAGCUGGUCUGAGAGGACGAUCAGCCACACUGGCACUGCGACACGGGCCAGACUCCUACGGGAGGCAGCAGUAAGGAAUAUUGCGCAAUGGGCGAAAGCCUGACGCAGCGACGCCGCGG
RNAcentral lists this ribosomal RNA (382 nucleotides) under uncultured bacterium. RNAcentral's name for it is "bacterial SSU rRNA". It matches the Rfam family "Bacterial small subunit ribosomal RNA", at positions 29 to 402 of the family's 1533-position model. The record is from RNAcentral.